AUGCAAGACUACUUCGCAGAGAAUCCAACAUAUCCGCCACACCUCUUCCGGAGAAGGUACCGAAUGCGCCGAUCCCUCUUUGUGAAAAUUGUUCAAGCUUGCGUGGCCAAUUAUCGGUAUUUUACUCAAAGAAGAAAUGUCGCGGGCUUGAAGGGAUUUAGUGCAUAUCAAAAAAUCUCGGCAGCUAUGUGGGUAAUUGCAUAG
This 204-nucleotide ribosomal RNA is filed under the name Triticum aestivum (bread wheat). RNAcentral describes it as "partial small subunit ribosomal RNA". Lineage: Eukaryota; Viridiplantae; Streptophyta; Magnoliopsida; Poales; Poaceae. The record is from RNAcentral.